UCACUUCUCUGUUCUCAACAAAAGAAUAAAUUGUAUAUGAAAUUAUAAUAUGCAUCAAAGCUGUACACUCCAAAUUCUAUUAACAUGAUUUCCGAUCCUAACAUAAUGUACAGAUGAUUUUUUUUUUUUUUUUUUUUUUACCCAACACUCAUAUUAUUAAUUAAUUACUUUCCAUCAAAAGGCAUAAACAUAUUCAAUCUAAAUGCCUUUAAUAAUUAAAUAUGCUUAUGCCAUCUGCAUAUUCAUUCACCAUCCAUACACAUUUAUGGAUACAACCAAUCAUGAACCUCUUGCGCCUAUAUAUGUAUACUAAACAAAAUUCAAUAAAAAUUCGGAAUAUACUACCAAUCAAAUACCAUUUAGAGCAAUUUAUUAAUAAUAGCAUAGUUACA
RNAcentral lists this long non-coding RNA (392 nucleotides) under Panax ginseng (ginseng). RNAcentral describes it as "long non-coding RNA (PGIN_LNC013095)". The record is from RNAcentral. Lineage: Eukaryota; Viridiplantae; Streptophyta; Magnoliopsida; Apiales; Araliaceae.